Molecule: long non-coding RNA, 765 nt
Filed under: Nicotiana tabacum (common tobacco)
Lineage: Eukaryota; Viridiplantae; Streptophyta; Magnoliopsida; Solanales; Solanaceae
Description: long non-coding RNA (NTAB_LNC014373)
Source: RNAcentral
UUAAAACCCUAAUGCUGACUAAAAGAAAGAGUUCAGUUUAGGGUUUAAACCCCUAAUGCUGACUAAAGGAAAAGAUCAGUUUAGGGUUUAAAUCCAUAAUGCUGACUAAAGGGAAAGUUCAGUUUAGGGUUUAAAACCCUAAUGCUGACAAAAGGAAAAUUUUAGUUUAGGGUUUAAAACCUUAAUGCUGACUAAAGGAAAGAGUUCAGUUCAGGGUUUAAAACCCUAAUGCUGACUAAAGGAAAGAGUUCAGUUUAGGGUUUAAAACCCUAAUGCUGACUAAAGGAAAGAGUUCAUUUUAGGGUUUAAAGCCCUAAUGCUGACUAAAGGAAAAAGUUCAGUUUAGGGUUUAAAACCCUAAUGCUGACUAAAGGAAAAGUUCAGUUUAGGGUUUAAAACCUUAAUGCUGACUAAAGGAAAGAGUUUAGUUUAGGGUUUAAAACCCUAAUGCUGACUGAAGGAAAGAGUUCAGUUCAGGGUUUAAAACCCUAAUGCUGACUGAAGGAAAAGUUCAGUUUAGGGUUUAAAACCCUAAUGUUGACUAAAGGAAAGAGUUCAGUUUAGGGUUUAAAACCCUAAUGCUGACUGAAGGAAAGAGUUCAGUUCAGGGUUUAAAACCCUAAUGCUGACUAAAGGAAAGAGUUCAGUUUAGGGUUUAAAACACUAAUGCUGACUAAAGGAAAAGAGUUCAGUUUAGGGUUUAAAACCCUAAUGCUGACUAAAGGGAAAAAGUUCAGUUUAGGGUUUAAAACCCUAAUGCUGACU